AACGAACGCUGGCGGCGGGCUUAACACAUGCAAGUCGAACGGCCCGCCCGUGGUUCGGCGGGGUGGUGGGUAGGCGGUCGGGAGAUACCCUUGUCAGUGACCUGCCCUUGAGUUAGGGAUAUCUUCACGAAACGGGGCCUAUUGCGGGAUAGGUUAUCCUGUAGCAUUGUGGGGGCUGGAGAGUUGCGGCGGUUGGGGGUGGACGCGCGGCUAAUCGGCUUGUUGGUGGGGUUGUGGCUUGCCAAGGCUUUGACGGGUAGCUGGCCUGAGAGGCUGACCGGCCACAUUGGGACUGAGAUACGGCCCAGACUCCAACGGGAGGCAGGAGUGGGGAAUAUUGCACAAUGGGCGGAAGCCUGAUGCAGCAACGCCGCGUGCGGGAUGACGGCCUUCGGGUUGUAAACCGCUUUCGCCUGUGACGAAGCGUGAGUGACGGUAAUGGGUAAAGAAGCACCGGCUAACUACGUG
RNAcentral lists this ribosomal RNA (468 nucleotides) under uncultured bacterium. Its description in RNAcentral is "partial 16S ribosomal RNA". It matches the Rfam family "Bacterial small subunit ribosomal RNA", at positions 28 to 507 of the family's 1533-position model. The record is from RNAcentral.